AAUACAAGGUCGUUCAUGAGCUAAGCAGAUCCUAACAGAGAAAAACAAAACAUAGAUUCUUCCCUAAAAUUUGCCUGGGUUGUGGUUAGGAGUCUCCAUUAAUUGUACAACUUCCCUUCCGCUGCUUCGGUUUGCCAACAACGGCGGUCUUCUUGAAGCAAAGUACUGUUCAUCCUCAAAAAUACUUCGUUGGUAAACUUUUGCUGCCAUGGGUACUCUUAACAUCAUCCAAGAUGGGAUUUUGAGGUCAUUUUCACAAUCACCACCAACUCAUUACACUAUGAAAAUACAGUCUUUUUCAUUCCUGUACAAAAAUAAUGUGGCUAGUAUUGAGUCAGGGGAUUUCAAAGCUGGAGGAUACAAAUGGAAAUUGAGGCUCUAUCCAAAUGGUUACUUGAAGAAGAAUGUGGUGGACCACAUCUCUUUCUACCUGGUAAUCUCUGGAUCAGCCUAUUUCCAAGAUGGUUGGGAACUUAAUGCUUUUUUCAGAUUGUUUUUGCUCGAUCAGAUAAAAGGCACCUACUUGGUACUUGAAGAUGCCAAUAAAAAAGUAAAGUGUUUUCAUGGGAAGAUGCUUUAUUCGGGUUUCGAUCAAUUUAUCCCUCUGGAAUCAUUUGUGGAUCCUUCCAAUGGUUAUCUCAUUGAUGACACCUGUGUGUUUGGAGCUGAGGUCUUUGUUUCUGAAAAAAGCAGAAUAGUUAGAGAAGAUUGCCUAUCAAUGAUCAAGAAUCCUGUCAUGUACCAGCAUGCUUGGAAGAUUGAGAAGUUUUCAGAGUUAAAAUCUGGAUAUUACUCAGUAGCAUUUAAAGCUGGUGACUACAAAUGGAAGAUACUUAUCUAUCCCAAGGGAUAUGGCCUUGGAAAGGGUAGUCAUCUUUCUCUUGACUUGAAAUUGUCUAAUCCUAAAACCCUACCUCCUGGCUCUGGAAUAUUUGCAGCGUAUUGUGUGCGCAUUGUAGAUCAAAAGCACACUAAGCAUGUUUUCGUUAAAGGGUAUAACUGGUUCAGUGCCUCGCGUCUGGCUCAGGGUUGGCAACGUCUCAUUAAGCUGGACCUUUUCCGUCGGGCAGGAAGUGGUUUUUUGAAGAAGGAUACUUGCUUAUUGGAGGCAGAGGUCACUGUACACGGAAUUUCUAAAGCUCUUUAAUCAGCUUAGAUCAGAUGGGCCGCCGUUUUCUUCUCUUGGAAAUUGAUGCAGAAGAGGUUAUGCUUAUGGACAUAUGUCAAGUAUUAAGAAGGAUGGUGAGCAUACAACUUGGGUUAAAGUGUUUGUCAACAAGGGCAGCCUUCUUGAAGCGAAGUAUAUAUUGCUGUUUAUCCUAAAAAAUAGUUCGUUGGUCAACUUUACUGCCAUGGCUACUCUUAACAUCGACCAAGAUGGGAUUUUGAGGUCAUUUUCACAAUCACUACAAACUCAUUACAAUAUGAAAAUACAGUCAUUUUCAUCACUGAACAAAAAUUAUGUGGAUAGUAUUGAGUCAGGGGAAUUCGAAGCAGGAGGACACAAAUGGAAACUGAGGUUUUAUCCAAAUGGAAACUUGAAGAAGAAUGUGGUGGACCACAUCUCUCUCUACCUUUUUCAGAUUGUUUUGCUUUAUCAAAAUAACGGCACGUACUUGGUUCUUGAAGGUAUUAUCUACUUCAGUCUGAUUCUCAUCCAGCAGAUGCCAAUAAAAAAGUAGAGUGUUUUCAUGGGAAGAUGCCUUGUUCGGAUUUCGAUCAAUUUAUCCCGCUAGAAUCAUUUGCGGAUGCUUCCAACGGAUAUCUCAUUGAUGACACCUGUGUGUUUGGAGCUGAGGUCUUUGCUUCUGAAGGAAGAAUUAUAGGCAAAGGAAAGUGUAUAUCAACGAUCAAUAAUCCCGUUAUGUCCUCUUGCUUCCAAAUAUAAGAAAUUGAAAAGUUUCUUUUUCUUCACGUGUUGGUUGUUGCAGGAUCAUAAGCCUCUCUCCCAAGGGACAUGGCAAGGGCAAGGGCAAGGGUAAGCAUCUUUCUCUUUCCUAGGCAUCGUCAGAUCGAAAAGCACUUCCUCCUGGCUACAGAAUAUUCAGAGAGUAUUCUCUGCGCCUUGUAGAUCAAAAGCUUGCCAAUCAUCUUUCUUAUAAAUGUAAAGGCCUCUUAGGGCCUGUUUGGUAUUUGAUUUGAGUCCAAUUUCUGUGUUAAAUUUUUAACACACUUUUCAAUGGAGCUGCAAAACAGGGUCCAGAUACAUUAAUCUAUUGUUGGGAUCCUUCAAAUUUCAUUAAACUGGACCUUUUCAAUCAGGCAGGCAGGGGUUUCUCUGUGAAGGAUUCUUGCAUAGUGGAAGCAGAGGUUACCAUCCACGGAACUUCUGAAACACUGCAAGUCUGCUUAAUUCUAUCAUAUGUUUAAUUCAGGCAGGCAGGUGUAAUGUUGUUGCACAUAGUGCUAAAAUUCUGUUCUUGGCUUGUGUGAAUAUGAAUGAAAGCAUUGCUUCCAA
RNA transcript from Prunus persica (peach), 2458 nucleotides. It is a transcript of the gene named MATH domain and coiled-coil domain-containing protein At2g05420, with no coding region annotated. The transcript has 11 exons. NCBI's taxonomy places the organism in Eukaryota, Viridiplantae, Streptophyta, Magnoliopsida, Rosales, Rosaceae. The record is from RefSeq and is a predicted model, not a curated record.